This 468-nucleotide ribosomal RNA is filed under the name uncultured bacterium. RNAcentral describes it as "partial 16S ribosomal RNA". It matches the Rfam family "Bacterial small subunit ribosomal RNA", at positions 28 to 507 of the family's 1533-position model. The record is from RNAcentral.
GACGAACGCUGGCGGCGUGCUUAACACAUGCAAGUCGAACGGAAAGGCCCUGCUUUUGUGGGGUGCUCGAGUGGCGAACGGGUGAGUAACACGUGAGUAACCUGCCCUUGACUUUGGGAUAACUUCAGGAAACUGGGGCUAAUACCGGAUAGGAGCUCCUGCUGCAUGGUGGGGGUUGGAAAGUUUCGGCGGUUGGGGAUGGACUCGCGGCUUAUCAGCUUGUUGGUGGGGUAGUGGCUUACCAAGGCUUUGACGGGUAGCCGGCCUGAGAGGGUGACCGGCCACAUUGGGACUGAGAUACGGCCCAGACUGCUACGGGAGGCAGCAGUGGGGAAUAUUGCACAAUGGGCGGAAGCCUGAUGAAGCAACGCCGCGUGCGGGAUGACGGCCUUCGGGUUGUAAACCGCUUUCGCCUGUGACGAAGCGUGAGUGACGGUAAUGGGUAAAGAAGCACCGGCUAACUACGUG